AUCUGAUUAACCAAUCAGAGAUGAGUAUUCCUAUGCCCAGUCUCACGCGGACAAGAAAACAAAAUGGUGGUUCCGUCGAAUCGGGAAAAUCAUGUUGAACGCCGCUUUUUAACUCUCUGCUAGCAGUGAUUUAGUCUUAUCUGUUUAAGCAGGGAUUUCACUGACUCAGUGCGUCAGAUAUAUCCUAUUUGUGUUGUUUCUCAUCGGCAAGAGACCUCAUUUGCAGGGUUAUUUUUACGACUUCACCGAAUCGUACUGUAAUGAACGCGGAAGGGUAAGCCACUGCUAGCAGGGUAUAUGAUUGAUCGCCACUUAUUUAGUUGUACGUUUCAUCGAGUCAUACAACUGCACAGAAUUUCCCUGGAUUUAUCUUGCUUUCACACUCGAAAUGAAGACACUCCAAGAAAAAAAAUUAGCUGGGAUAUUGAAACUAAAAUGAAUCUUAUACAGAAUGGCAGCGAGUCUCAUUAAAAAAUAAAGCUAAAUCGUAUAUGGCCGCGAGUCACUGUUUGUUGUAUGCAAUUAAAAGACACUACAUGAAAGUACUAUGUUUAAAUGUUUAUAUUUGAUCCUGGAAUCAAUAGAUUUGCUAUGAUCUGUAAAUCUCAGGGAUGGCAGUCAUUAUACAUUGCUGCAUUAGUUUGCUAUUACUCGUUGUAAAAAAAGUCAUUACCACAAAUGCUCACAUUAUGGCUUUUUAAACAUGGAUUUUAGAGGGGGCACUUGUUUGAGAGGCUAUCUAAUGUGCUUAUUCAAUGAGGGGUGUAUGUAUACCUCGGUGUUAGAACCCUCUCCAAAGGACUUCAUUGUAUUCAGCUCUGUUUUCAUCAUGAUUCUUUUUAUCAAACAAUAGAAGUUUUGUGACACAAAUCGUGCACAAUACACAGGUUUUAACACCAAGGUAGAGCCAUUAAGGGGGUAUUUCAUUGUGUGUGCAGGCAAAUGGAAGGCAAAGCCUAUAAACUAGGAUGAGGAAAAGGCAUGGUAAGGGUGCUGACACAGGUUGUGAAGACAAAGUAGACUUGUACCAGGUUUGAUUACCAGGCCUUGGAGAUUAUAGGAGAAUGGGAGUGUAGUCAUAUCCUGGGUACCAGAUGCUCCAAGCUUUACUAGAGCAGAUAUCAUAUGGAAAAUAUCUAUUUUUUCAUAUUUGGUGAUACUUCAGGCCCACUUUUUUCUCAUCAGUCUCUAUUAUAUGUGCAAAGAGUCUUUUUUUAAGAAUUGAAUUGAAUUAAUUUGAUUUGAUAGGCAAGUCUGAGAGUUGAAGUUCCCUUUUAAGACUAUAGUGAUAGUAAGAAUUUAUAUGUUUGGGGUAUAGAAUUAGGUUUGGGUAUUUGUUUGGGAGGUAAGUUUCUAUGCUUGGUAUAUUAGGGACUUUAAGAACCGAGAACGCGGCGGGUCUAGGACGCGACCGGAAGUGUUUUUUUCACAUUUUGCCCAACAGCGCAUGCGCAUGAAGUUCUCUCUUCUUGGCGGGAACGCGACGAAUCGAGUUUUGAAGUGCUGUAGAAAACCAGGUGUGUUCAACCAUGGCAUCAAACGUGCGAGAUGCAAAGGACAAAUCUUUAAACAAUGUGAUCAUGUACUGGUCGACUGUCACAGACAAAGAAGAGAGAUUUCAGAGAGGGUGAUGUGGAUGUAAAACCUAAGCGACAAAGAAGGAAGGGAGGAGAUGCAAUUGAGUUUUUGAAAGAGAGAGCUGACAAAAACAGUGAACUUAGAGAAAAGGAGCUCAACAU
Long non-coding RNA from Nematostella vectensis (starlet sea anemone), 1739 nucleotides. RefSeq lists it as uncharacterized. The record is from RefSeq and is a predicted model, not a curated record. Lineage: Eukaryota; Metazoa; Cnidaria; Anthozoa; Actiniaria; Edwardsiidae. The transcript has 3 exons.